Molecule: ribosomal RNA, 447 nt
Filed under: Granulicatella elegans
Lineage: Bacteria; Bacillati; Bacillota; Bacilli; Lactobacillales; Carnobacteriaceae
Description: bacterial SSU rRNA
Rfam family: Bacterial small subunit ribosomal RNA
Source: RNAcentral
GACGAACGCUGGCGGCGUGCCUAAUACAUGCAAGUCGAACGAGAGCGACCGGUGCUUGCACUGGUCAAUCUAGUGGCGAACGGGUGAGUAACACGUGGGUAACCUGCCCAUCAGAGGGGGAUAACAUUCGGAAACGGAUGCUAAAACCGCAUAGGUUCUUUAGUCGCAUGACUGAUGAAGGAAAAGAGGCUUCGGCUUCUGCUGAUGGAUGGACCCGCGGUGCAUUAGCUAGUUGGUGAGGUAACGGCUCACCAAGGCGAUGAUGCAUAGCCGACCUGAGAGGGUGAUCGGCCACAUUGGGACUGAGACACGGCCCAAACUCCUACGGGAGGCAGCAGUAGGGAAUCUUCCGCAAUGGACGCAAGUCUGACGGAGCAACGCCGCGUGAGUGAAGAAGGAUUUCGGUUCGUAAAACUCUGUUGUUAGAGAAGAACAGCGCAUAGAGUA